GAUGAACGCUGGCGGCGUGCCUAAUACAUGCAGGUCGAGCGAACGGACGAGAAGCUUGCUUCUCUGAUGUUAGCGGCGGACGGGUGAGUAACACGUGGAUAACCUACCUAUAAGACUGGGAUAACUUCGGGAAACCGGAGCUAAUACCGGAUGAUAUUUUGAACCGCAUGGUUCAAAAGUGAAAGACGGUCUUGCUGUCACUUAUAGAUGGAUCCGCGCUGCAUUAGCUAGUUGGUAAGGUAACGGCUUACCAAGGCAACGAUGCAUAGCCGACCUGAGAGGGUGAUCGGCCACACUGGAACUGAGACACGGUCCAGACUCCUACGGGAGGCAGCAGUUGGGAAUCUUCCGCAAUGGGCGAAAGCCUGACGGAGCAACGCCGCGUGAGUGAUGAAGGUCUUCGGAUCGUAAAACUCUGUUAUUAGGGAAGAACAUAUGUGUAAGUAACUGUGCACAUCUUGACGGUACCUAAUCAGAAAGCCACGGCUAACUACGUG
This 497-nucleotide ribosomal RNA is filed under the name uncultured bacterium. RNAcentral's name for it is "partial 16S ribosomal RNA". It matches the Rfam family "Bacterial small subunit ribosomal RNA", at positions 28 to 507 of the family's 1533-position model. The record is from RNAcentral.